This 497-nucleotide ribosomal RNA is filed under the name uncultured bacterium. RNAcentral's name for it is "partial 16S ribosomal RNA". It matches the Rfam family "Bacterial small subunit ribosomal RNA", at positions 28 to 507 of the family's 1533-position model. The record is from RNAcentral.
GAUGAACGCUGGCGGCGUGCCUAAUACAUGCAAGUCGAGCGAACAGAUGCGGAGCUUGCUCCUCUGACGUUAGCGGCGGACGGGUGAGUAACACGUGGAUAACCUACCUAUAAGACUGGGAUAAUUUCGGGACACCGGCGCUAAUACCGGAUAAUAUCUUGAACCGCAUGGUUCAAUAGUGAAAGACGGUUUUGCUGUCACUUAUAGAUGGAUCCGCGCCGCAUUAGCUAGUUGGUAAGGUAACGGCUUACCAAGGCAACGAUGCGUAGCCGACCUGAGAGGGUGAUCGGCCACACUGGAACUGAGACACGGUCCAGACUCCUACGGGAGGCAGCAGUAGGGAAUCUUCCGCAAUGGGCGAGAGCCUGACAGAGCAGCGCCGCGUGAGGGAUAAAGGUCUUCGGAGCGUAAAACUCUGUUAUUAGGGAAGAACAGAUGUGUAAGUAACUAUGCACGUCUUGACGGUACCGAAUCAGAAAGCCACGGCUAACUACGUG